GACGAACGCUGGCGGCGUGCUUAACACAUGCAAGUCGAACGGAAAGGCCUCUUUCGGGGGGUACUCGAGUGGCGAACGGGUGAGUAACACGUGAGUAACCUGCCCUUGACUUUGGGAUAACUUCAGGAAACUGGGGCUAAUACCGGAUAGGAGCUCCUGCUGCAUGGUGGGGGUUGGAAAGUUUCGGCGGUUGGGGAUGGACUCGCGGCUUAUCAGCUUGUUGGUGGGGUAGUGGCUUACCAAGGCUUUGACGGGUAGCCGGCCUGAGAGGGUGACCGGCCACAUUGGGACUGGGAUACGGCCCAGACUCCUACGGGAGGCAGCAGUGGGGAAUAUUGCACAAUGGGUGGAAGCCUGAUGCAGCAACGCCGUGGGCGGGAGGACGGCCUUCGGGUUGUAAACCGCUUUCGCUCAUGACGAAGCUUUGUGUGACGGUAGUGGGUAAAGAAGCACCGGCUAACUACGUG
This 467-nucleotide ribosomal RNA is filed under the name uncultured bacterium. Its description in RNAcentral is "partial 16S ribosomal RNA". It matches the Rfam family "Bacterial small subunit ribosomal RNA", at positions 28 to 507 of the family's 1533-position model. The record is from RNAcentral.